GAUGAAGAACGUAGCGAAAUGCGAUAAGUAAUGCGAAUUGCAGAAUCCGUGAGUCAUCGAAUCUUUGAACGCACAUUGCGCCCCCUGGCAUUCCGGGGGGCAUGCCUGUCCGAGCGUCAUUUCUGCCCUCAAGCACGGCUUGUGUGUUGGGUGUGGUCCCCCCGGGGACCUGCCCGAAAGGCAGCGGCGACGUCCGUCUGGUCCUCGAGCGUAUGGGGCUCUGUCACUCGCUCGGGAAGGACCUGCGGGGGUUGGUCACCACCAUGUUUUACCACGGUUGACCUCGGAUCAGGUAGGAGUUACCCGCUGAACUUAAGCAUAUCAAUAAGCGGAGGA
This 336-nucleotide unclassified non-coding RNA is filed under the name soil metagenome. Its description in RNAcentral is "partial contains 5.8S ribosomal RNA, internal transcribed spacer 2, and large subunit ribosomal RNA". The stretch from base 1 to 119 matches the Rfam family "5.8S ribosomal RNA", at positions 35 to 154 of the family's 154-position model. The record is from RNAcentral.